CCCCUUCCCUUUCGCAGCGCGGCUUCUUAUAUUCGGCGGGUCAGCUUGCCUGACUAUGGAAAUAAACGGCCGAUGAAAUAAACCAUUCGGACCCGGGGGCGGUACCCGGCGCCUCCACCAGGAACCGCAGCAUCGCGCUGCGGCUGCUGAUGGGGGCGAAACAGGAUCGACGAGGGCGUAAAGAUCGGACUUUUUCCCGGCAUUGUACCACCGUUAUCGGGCUAAUCUUAUAGUUGCCAACGACAACUAUGCUGAGGCACGUCUCGCUGCUUAAUGCGGCGCGAUAGUCUCGAAUUAAGCCCUGUGGGUUAGCACCUUCAGGCGGGGUUCGGAGGUACCUGGCAACAGAAACCUCCACC
This 359-nucleotide transfer-messenger RNA is filed under the name Neoaquamicrobium sediminum. It matches the Rfam family "Alphaproteobacteria transfer-messenger RNA". Rfam says of the family: Bacterial tmRNA, also known as 10Sa RNA or SsrA, is named for its dual tRNA and mRNA-like properties. Its role is to liberate the mRNA from a stalled ribosome. Lineage: Bacteria; Pseudomonadati; Pseudomonadota; Alphaproteobacteria; Hyphomicrobiales; Phyllobacteriaceae. The record is from RNAcentral.